RNAcentral lists this long non-coding RNA (1085 nucleotides) under Gallus gallus (chicken). Lineage: Eukaryota; Metazoa; Chordata; Aves; Galliformes; Phasianidae. The record is from RNAcentral.
AGGGGCAGUAUUAUUACUAGGGACAGCCGAACUUUUCUUACGUUCAGGAAUAUCAGCCUUAUUUGGAUUGCUGGCAUUUCCAAGCAUUGGACUAGCUGGUGCAAUUCCUCUUCCUGCAACAGCACUACUGCUAGAUUUUCUUGAUUGAAUUCCUUCCUCUUUUAGGUCACUGUCUGUAGUACUAGUUUGGCUUCUUUUGGGAUAUGCCACUACUGGGGGGAUGGAUGGUCCAGCAUGAUCGCUGUAGCGCCUCUGCUUCUGGCUAGAAGAUAUGCUUCUCUGAACUUUGUGAUGAGGAGAUUGUCCAGUGCUAUUAUUAAGAUCACUACUUGGCCGAACUUUAGCAAGUGAAAGAUUGCUGCUGGAGCUUGAAUCACUUGCAUCCAACUCUGAUGAUUUCCUUCCUAGCAAUAAGUAUGUAGCUGUGAUUUCAUCAUACUUCAUUUUACUAAGGGAUUCUUGAAUUUCUUCUUGAGAAUAUCCCAUUCCUACCAUAAUAUCUAUUCUUUUCUGGUCCGAGAUGUCUAGUUCUGGUUCAACAAAAGGUUUAAGUUCAUCCUCCUCAUGCCCUGCAUUGAUCCACCUGUCCUUCAUAAUUUGCUCUAGAGUGCCUCUUUUUGUUGGGUUUAGCACCAGGAAACGUUUGAGGAGGUUUUCACAGUCUGUGGACAUGUAGAAAGGAAUCCGGUAUUUUCCCCUUAGUACUCUCUCUCUAAGUUCCUUUAAGUUCUGCCCAUCAAAAGGAAGAGAUCCACUCACGAGGGUAUAAAGAAUAACACCUAAACUCCAAACAUCUACUUCAGGUCCAUCGUAUUUUUUCCCUUGAAAAAGUUCAGGAGCAGCAUAAGGUGGGCUUCCACAAAAUGUGUCCAGUUUAUUACCAACUGUAAAUUCAUUGCUAAACCCAAAGUCGGCUAUUUUAAUGUUCAUAUCUGCAUCUAGCAAUAGAUUUUCAGCCUUGAGAUCUCUAUGAACAAUAUGCUUUUGAUGGCAGUACUGCACUGCAGAUACUAUCUGCCUAAAUUUAGCUCUUGCUUCCUUUUCCUUCAUUCUUCCAUGCGCAACCAGAUAGUCAAACACCUCCC